GGGCAGCCCGGCCCCGGCUCCGCCCCGCUCUCUCCGGUCCGAGCGCUCCGCGGCGGCGGGAGCGGCCAUGAGGCCGGCGCCGCGCUCCCGGCACCAGACCCUGGCCCUGCGCCGGCAGCUCAUCGGCUCAUCUUGCAAGCUAUUUUUUUCUAACGAUCCAGUGAAGAUCGUGAGGGCAGAAGGCCAGUAUAUGUAUGACGAGAAUGGAAGACGAUACCUUGACUGCAUAAACAAUGUUGCUCACGUUGGGCAUUGUCACCCUGAAGUAGUAAAAGCAGCCCAUGAACAAAAUCAACUGUUAAAUACAAAUUCUCGUUACCUUCACGACAACUUGGUUGAUUAUGCACACAGACUUUCAAAAACACUGCCUGAGAAGCUGUGCAUCUUUUAUUUUCUGAAUUCUGGAUCUGAAGCUAACGAUCUUGCCCUAAGAUUGGCACGACAGUAUACAAAACAUGAUGAUGUUAUAGUCUUAGACCAUUCUGCUAAUUGUUUUUUAAGUGCUUACCACGGACAUCUGACAUCCUUGAUUGACAUAAGCCCCUAUAAAUUCAGAAAUCUAGAAGGACAAAAGGAAUGGGUCCAUGUGGCUCCUGUUCCAGACACAUACAGAGGACUUUACCGAGAAGACCACGAAGAUUCAGUAACAGCCUAUGCUAAUGAAGUGAAAAAUAUUAUUGAGAAAGCACAUGAGAGGGGCAGAAAGAUUGCUGCAUUUUUUGUUGAAUCUCUGCCAAGUGUGGGUGGACAAAUCAUUCCACCAGCAGGCUAUUUUCAGAAGGUGGCAGAGCAUGUGCACAGGGCAGGAGGUGUAUUUAUUGCUGAUGAAAUUCAAGUUGGCUUUGGCAGGGUUGGCAAGCACUUUUGGGCCUUCCAGCUUCAGGGAGAAGAUUUUAUACCUGAUAUUGUCACUAUGGGGAAACCAAUAGGAAAUGGGCACCCUAUUGCCUGUGUAGCAACAACAAAAGAAAUAGCAGAAGCAUUUGCAGCCACAGGAGUAGAGUAUUUCAAUACAUUUGGAGGGAACCCUGUUUCAUGUGCAAUUGGAUUAGCUGUGUUAGAUGUGAUUGAAAAGGAAAACCUUCAGGCUCAUGCCACAGAAGUAGGCAACUUCUUGAUGAAGCUACUCAAGGAGCAGAAAAUCAAGCAUUCCAUCAUUGGUGAUGUCAGGGGUUCUGGGUUAUUCAUUGGAGUGGACUUAAUCAAGGAUCCAUCAGAAAGGACCCCAGCCACAGCAGAAGCAGAGUAUCUAAUAACAAGACUUAAGGAAGAAUAUAUUCUACUAAGUACAGAUGGGCCGGGAAGAAAUGUGCUUAAAUUCAAACCCCCAAUGUGCUUCAACAUGGAGGAUGCAAAGUUUGUUGUGGACACAAUUGACAAGCUACUAACAGAGAUGGAAAAGGAGUGUGUGAAGCAAGAGAAAACAUCCACUUGUUCUACCUGAGCAGGAAACCAAGAAUGCAAAAAGCCUCUUACUAAGUACAGUCCUAGUAAGACACUUACAUACAAUGUUUCAAACAAUGCUCAAGAUCUACUACUAAGAAACAUUCUAUUAACGCAUACUUAAGCUUCAUCCUAGCAUGUAUUAAACCAGAUAAGUUACCUUUGAUUUUGUUAUUUUCAGUUAUUAGUAAAAUACUUAGGAGAAAUAAACUUUACAAGAGCUUGUUUCAA
Molecule: RNA transcript, 1674 nt
Organism: Colius striatus (speckled mousebird)
Lineage: Eukaryota; Metazoa; Chordata; Aves; Coliiformes; Coliidae
Gene: PHYKPL
Gene name: 5-phosphohydroxy-L-lysine phospho-lyase
Exons: 14
Source: RefSeq, a predicted model, not a curated record